CAUAUACAUUUUUACUUAAUUCUUAGUCAUGUGCAUUUCUUUAAUAUGUGCCCUUAUGUGUGUGUAUUUGUUGUGAGAGAGUGUUUGAGAGAGAGAGAGUGCAUGACAGAGAGAGACAGAUAUUUUUCAGAUACAUAUACAUUUUUACUUAAUUCUUAGUCAUGUGCAUUUCUUUAAUAUGUGCCCUUAUGUGUGUGUCUUUGUUGUGAGAGUGAGAGAGAGUGAGAGUGAGAGUGAGAGUGAGAGUGAGAGUGAGAGAGAGAGAGAGAGAGAGAGAGAGAGAGAGAGAGAGAGAGAGAGAGAGAGAGUGCAUGACAGAGAGAGGCAAACAUUUUUCAGAUGCAUCACAGACAUUUUGACUUAAUGUGUCAUUAGCUGUGUGGUGAUUUGGGAGAAUCCUGUGUGUCCAGCUCUCCGCUCACUUGCUGCUCAUUGGGCACAUCUGAGAGUAUCCUGGGGGUUCACCCUCAACAUCUGACAGUAUCCUGGGGGUUCACCCUCAACAUCUGAGAGUAUCCUGGGGGUUCACCCUCAACAUCUGAGAGUAUCCUGGGGGUUCACCCUCAACAUCUGAGAGUAUCCUGGGGGUUUACCCUCAACAUCUGACAUGGCAGGCUGCCGGCUGUGGAGCUGAUGCAUGAUCAUGGCUGCCAGGAUAAUCCCAGUGAACUGAAAAGGAUUUCCAAAAGAAGUUACAUCCAUGAAACAAAAUUGCAAAAUGUUCAUGUUCAUUAUUGUAGUCUUUAUACUGAUGUACUGUUGAAGCAGGGAGUUUCACCUCCCACCAUGCUCUCUCUAAGAAUCUUUAAUAGUUUGAAUGUGUUGCUGUGACAAUAAUAUCGUUUUUCUUACCCAUAAGGCAGCAAGGCUAAAGCUGACAGCCAAUCCAGCAUCGAGACUCCAAGCAUAAUUUGGGCCGUUGGGCCUCAACUGGCUCAACUGGCUCCACUGUCAUUCAGAGAUAAUAAAACAAAAAUAAUAAUUUAAACAGAAAAAUGCAUAUGGUUUAAAGACGAAUCUGGUAAAAUGACAUGAAACAAGUUAGGAAGCUAAAUACUUCAGAUGAAUAUUCUUUUCAUAUUGCACUAUUUCUUGAUACUAAGUUUGCUGUAAAAACACUGCAGGCUUAAGGCCAAAUAUAGUGUUAGGAUCAUUUGUUAUUUCUAAUUUAAAACAUACAAAUUAUCUCUGUACUUCCGUCAAUCCAAUCAUUUGUACCAUAGCAUAUUAUUGUGUACCAUUAAACGUUUUGACAUAAGUCAUGUACUCAUAUCAGUUCUUGGACAAUAUUUAUAUCAUAGUGAAUAAUAGUACAGUAGGUCCAUUUAAUGUGCUUCUGUAUGCAUGAG
Clupea harengus (Atlantic herring) is the source of this 1349-nucleotide long non-coding RNA. The record is from Ensembl. NCBI's taxonomy places the organism in Eukaryota, Metazoa, Chordata, Actinopteri, Clupeiformes, Clupeidae.